This 427-nucleotide unclassified non-coding RNA is filed under the name Scutellaria indica f. parvifolia. RNAcentral describes it as "Scutellaria indica fo. parvifolia partial contains external transcribed spacer and 18S ribosomal RNA". Lineage: Eukaryota; Viridiplantae; Streptophyta; Magnoliopsida; Lamiales; Lamiaceae. The record is from RNAcentral.
UGCUCGGGCAGCGACGGCAUCUCCAACUUGCCUCUUCAAUGGUCGGCACGAGCGCUAUCUUGCCUCGGCCGAUGUCGGUUUCCCGUGUUGGAUACCCGUUGCGAAGGCAUUUCAUUCGGCUAAGUUGUCUCGAUUCCAUCCCGCAUCCUUGUGUCUUUCGGUGCAUGCGGUGCGGAUGGGCCCCGUAGCACCCGUCGUGUCGUCCCGAUCCGUGCGCUCCCGAAUGGGUUCCCGGUUUGACGAUCCACGACGGCGUGCUCGAUCUCUCGGAUGCGGAACACUCGUGGGUAUGAGGCGAAGUAAGUCCUCCUAUUGUCCCGAAAAAACGCUUCUUGCGAACGAUGGUCGUUCCGGUUUUGAACCUUCGCCCCCGCGGCGUCGAUCAUGCCGGGACGACGUCGGUGAGGAAUGCUACCUGGUUGAUCCU